RNAcentral lists this long non-coding RNA (258 nucleotides) under Hordeum vulgare. RNAcentral's name for it is "long non-coding RNA (HVUL_LNC018272)". Lineage: Eukaryota; Viridiplantae; Streptophyta; Magnoliopsida; Poales; Poaceae. The record is from RNAcentral.
AACAACUUGUCGAGGGUGUUAAUCACUAACAAAAACAACAUGAGAAGAGUGGGCUUGCCUGAGGCGACUUUUUUUCUUGUUCUGCGUAUUUUUUAAGACGAGCGACAUAAAUUGAACGGAAAAUAGGAUGAUUAUGGUUUACAAUGUAAUUUUAUUUGUUGCUGAACUUGUGUGUGUAUGUGUGUGUGUUGAAUUGUUCUAUUUCAUUGUAUUGAAUAAUUUUUUGAUUGUCAUUUACCAAAUACAGGGUACACUUUG